Molecule: non-coding RNA, 69 nt
Organism: Trichonephila clavata
Lineage: Eukaryota; Metazoa; Arthropoda; Arachnida; Araneae; Nephilidae
Source: the annotation of a GenBank genome assembly
AUGUAGAGCAAUGGAUAGCGCGUUGGACUACUCCUCCAAAGGUCGCACGUUCGAACCCUGCCUGGAAUG